GAUGAACGCUGGCGGCGUGCCUAAUACAUGCAAGUCGAGCGAACGGACGAGAAGCUUGCUUUUCUGAUGUUAGCGGCGGACGGGUGAGUAACACGUGGAUAACCUACCUAUAAGACUGGGAUAACUUCGGGAAACCGGAGCUAAUACCGGAUAAUAUUUUGAACCGCAUGGUUCAAAAGUGAAAGACGGUCUUGCUGUCACUUAUAGAUGGAUCCGCGCUGCAUUAGCUAGUUGGUAAGGUAACGGCUUAGCAAGGCAACGAUGCAUAGCCGACCUGAGAGGGUGAUCGGCCACACUGGAACUGAGACACGGUCCAGACUCCUACGGGAGGCAGCAGUAGGGAAUCUUCCGCAAUGGGCGAAAGCCUGACGGAGCAACGCCGCGUGAGUGAUGAAGGUCUUCGGAUCGUAAAGCUCUGUUAUUAGGGAAGAACAGAUGUGGAAGUAACUGUGCACAUCUUGACGGUACCUAAGCAGAAAGCCACGGCUAACUACGUG
RNAcentral lists this ribosomal RNA (497 nucleotides) under uncultured bacterium. RNAcentral's name for it is "partial 16S ribosomal RNA". It matches the Rfam family "Bacterial small subunit ribosomal RNA", at positions 28 to 507 of the family's 1533-position model. The record is from RNAcentral.